RNAcentral lists this ribosomal RNA (846 nucleotides) under Staphylococcus aureus. Its description in RNAcentral is "partial 23S ribosomal RNA". It matches the Rfam family "Bacterial large subunit ribosomal RNA", at positions 1 to 843 of the family's 2925-position model. Lineage: Bacteria; Bacillati; Bacillota; Bacilli; Caryophanales; Staphylococcaceae. The record is from RNAcentral.
AGAUUAAGUUAUUAAGGGCGCACGGUGGAUGCCUUGGCACUAGAAGCCGAUGAAGGACGUUACUAACGACGAUAUGCUUUGGGGAGCUGUAAGUAAGCUUUGAUCCAGAGAUUUCCGAAUGGGGAAACCCAGCAUGAGUUAUGUCAUGUUAUCGAUAUGUGAAUACAUAGCAUAUCAGAAGGCACACCCGGAGAACUGAAACAUCUUAGUACCCGGAGGAAGAGAAAGAAAAUUCGAUUCCCUUAGUAGCGGCGAGCGAAACGGGAAGAGCCCAAACCAACAAGCUUGCUUGUUGGGGUUGUAGGACACUCUAUACGGAGUUACAAAGGACGACAUUAGACGAAUCAUCUGGAAAGAUGAAUCAAAGAAGGUAAUAAUCCUGUAGUCGAAAAUGUUGUCUCUCUUGAGUGGAUCCUGAGUACGACGGAUCACGUGAAAUUCCGUCGGAAUCUGGGAGGACCAUCUCCUAAGGCUAAAUACUCUCUAGUGACCGAUAGUGAACCAGUACCGUGAGGGAAAGGUGAAAAGCACCCCGGAAGGGGAGUGAAAUAGAACCUGAAACCGUGUGCUUACAAGUAGUCAGAGCCCGUUAAUGGGUGAUGGCGUGCCUUUUGUAGAAUGAACCGGCGAGUUACGAUUUGAUGCAAGGUUAAGCAGUAAAUGUGGAGCCGUAGCGAAAGCGAGUCUGAAUAGGGCGUUUAGUAUUUGGUCGUAGACCCGAAACCAGGUGAUCUACCCUUGGUCAGGUUGAAGUUCAGGUAACACUGAAUGGAGGACCGAACCGACUUACGUUGAAAAGUGAGCGGAUGAACUGAGGGUAGCGGAGAAAUUCCAAUCGAACCUGGA